CCUACGGGAGGCAGCAGUGAGGGAUAUUGGUCAAUGGGGGAAACCCUGAACCAGCAACGCCGCGUGAGGGAAGACGGUUUUCGGAUUGUAAACCUCUGUCCUCUGUGAAGAUAAUGACGGUACCUGAGUAAGAAGCCCCGGCUAACUACGUGCCAGCAGCCGCGGUAAUACGUAGGGGGCAAGCGUUAUCCGGAUUUACUGGGUGUAAAGGGAGCGUAGACGGUGAGACAAGUCUGAAGUGAAAGCCCGGGGCUCAACCCCGGGACUGCUUUGGAAACUGCCUGACUGGAGUGCUGGAGAGGCAAGCGGAAUUCCUAGUGUAGCGGUGAAAUGCGUAGAUAUUAGGAAGAACACCAGUGGCGAAGGCGGCUUGCUGGACAGUAACUGACGUUGAGGCUCGAAAGCGUGGGGAGCAAACAGGAUUAGAUACCCUUGUAGUC
RNAcentral lists this ribosomal RNA (440 nucleotides) under uncultured bacterium. Its description in RNAcentral is "partial 16S ribosomal RNA". It matches the Rfam family "Bacterial small subunit ribosomal RNA", at positions 338 to 795 of the family's 1533-position model. The record is from RNAcentral.